UUCACCAUGUUGGCCAAGAUGGUCUCAAACUCCUGACCUCAAAUGAUCCACCUGUCUCAGCCUCCCAAAGUGCUGAGAUUACAGGCAUGAGCCAUUGCACCGGUCCCAGAGUGUUUUCUAACAGGAAGAUGGUGUCUGUUCUUUCAGUGCCACAGUUUCUCCCAAUUUGUAAACUGUGAACCCUUAGCAAUCCUGAUUUUCAUUAACACCUAGGUUAUUAUUUAGUUCUCUGAAGUUACAGUUUGCUAAUACUACUGUCAGGACUGAAAGCGUUAAUGUAGCUUGGGCACUGGGAGAAUUUGAGAAUUUGGUUGUAUUGAAAUAAACAAUGAAUAAUAGGAUUUUUUAAAUCUCCAUUAAAUAUUUAAUUUAUAAAAAGCUUCUGCAGUGCCAUUAUUAAUUCUUAGUUGAAUGUUUUAAACUUUUUUAUGUUGUAUAUUGAAUAUAAAAUGGUCUGGCGCAUGGUAAGCUCUCCAUAAAUAUGGAAUUUAUGUUAUUAUGGUUUAGGUGUUACUGUCUAAUGAAUGACUGAAUGAAAACAUGCAUCAUGGAGGGUAAAAAUCAUCAGCUAGCAGCAGGUUUCUGUAAUUGCUAUAGUUCCCUAAAAGUCGUUACACACAGAGCCCUGAAACCCCGGGGACAGCAGUCACCCCUGAGUGCAAACAUGGGCACUAGUUGUGAUUGCAAGAGAAGGGCAAGAUCACCAACUUAGCCCAGAAUGCAUUGAGUGACUUUGUUGGUGCCACAGCUGAAGACCUGUUUUAGUUCUAACUUUCUGGUAAAGUCACUCUGAAGUCAAAGGCAGAAGAAGCCCUUCAAAUAUUUUGGCCUCAUUCCAUGGUAAUCAUAGGUACCCUGCCAGCAAUUUUUUUUUCUGUCCUAUGAAAGUCAGCUUCUACUAAAUUAUUACUUAAUCCUUUCUUAAAUUAGAAGAGACCGCUAGUUUUUUCAGACAGGAUAGUAGAAUGAAGCGCAGGACCCCAGAAUUUUACUUAUCUGGUUUGGAUGCUUUUGAACAUGCACUGGGUUUGCUUCCCGAUGGGUUGGGACUCGUUUUAACUCGAGAGAUGUUAGAGGGGCCGAAAACACUCCAGAAUUCAUAGUGACUUUGCCGUAUUCUGCAGACUCAACUACUAUGCAUCUAGACUGUGCCAUUAUUCAAAUAACAACCGUGAGUAGGAAAUAGAAUCCUGACUAUUAAACAUCAAACAUGAUUUCUUUGUGUCUCAGCAGCAGAAUUAUUUUUGCACCAGUUACAAGGCUUGCCUAUGAAUUAUUUAAAAAAUAAAAUCUUGAGCUCUGAGGCAUUUUUGAAAAAUCUUUUAUUACCACCAUCACAUAAACAUAGAAAAGAACAGAUGUGUGCUAUCAAAGGUGAAACUCACUUUCAUAUUAGAAAAGAAACACAGUGCAGUUGCUUCUAAAUAUAGUUCGUUUAAAUAAUAAGAAAAAUAUGAUAUGUCUGCAGGUAAUGAAGGACAUAAGAAUUAAGAAAGGAGAAUCAUGGGAAAGUAGGAGAACAGGUAAACACUUGAGAAAAAGAAAGAAAUUGUCUAGGAAAAAAAGAGUCUAAUUUUCACCCAAGAAGGUCUGGAAAAUAAUAACAAUUACAUUAUUUUAUUAUGUUAGAACAAUUUUGUACAAAGGUGAGUGUGCCCUAUUUUCGCUUAGAGAAAUGAUAUGUGUAGGUUAAAUGGAAUAAUGGCCUCAGUGCCCUAAGCUAUUCCACAGCUAAUACUUCCAUUUAAAAUAAAUUUUUGAAAGCAGUAAAACAUGUGGCUAGCCGAUUAUUCAUAUGAUUAAUCUGUUGGUUUUUCAUUUUAUGCUUUCGUAUGUUUGAUAAGGAGUUGGCUUGUAUUUUUCCCUUGAAGGGGACAUUUAAGUGAGUGAUGCCAUUCAUCCUUGUUCAAUUUUUGUCCAGUCUUGAUGCAGGUUUGAAGAGGAAAUGGGUUGCAUUUUGAAAGAGUCCUGGUGGAGAAUCUUAAAACCCUCUAUUUUAACACAAUAAAAAAAGGAGAUGUCGAUUUUUAAACAUCAUCUAUGUUAGGUAAAGGAAGCAUCUAUUUCUGGGAAAGAUUUCCGAGGCAUCAUCAUAGCCUGUGGAAAUAUGGAUGGGGAUUCAACUCUCUGUAGUCAGCAAGGGACAGGUGGGAAAUCGUGUUUUUGAAGAAGAAUGCACUUGUAAUAGCAAGUUACCACAGUCAACUUUCACCUCUGCCAAAUGUGUGAUUGGCUUAAGCUACUUAUAUUUUCAAAUCUGUUAAUUAUUCACAGUUUUGGCAGAGCUGUUGCUUCUCACAGUGUUGGUGGCUGUCGUCCACCUUUUUUUUUUUUUUUUUUUUUUGAUGAGUGCCAUGAAAGGGAAAAUGGAUUUUUUUUUUCCUUUUGAAGGCUUUAAGGAUACCACCAUAGCUUUUCUGAACAAGAAACAAUUUCACAGUUUUAUUAUGGAAUGGGUGCUAUCCUCCCAGCAUAAUUCUGUGGUUUUUAAGUGUUACGCCAGAGCUGGCUCAGGGAAAUAGCUAUAUACAGAGAAUUUGGUGGGUCCAAAAGAGAAAAGGGAACAGAAAAAAGGAAGAGUACAUUUUGUGGUUGCAAGACUUAUGAUUUAGGGGACCCCUUGGGGUUCAGUGCCAUUCAAAGGCAGGAAGUAUCCAUUCAUAAGUCUUGGUCCCUCUCUACUGUAUUUGGUAUCAUAAUUUAAAUGAAUUCAGGGCUGAAUGCCAGCAUCAAUCAGUUCCACAUGUUUGAUCAAAUCUCUAUUCUUGCCUACACAGUCCCUUGAAAAAGCACGCUGUACUAGAGGGAUUGCAGCACUACUCGGGGUUACACAUCCAUCUCGCAUUUCUGGCUAGUGAAGGAAAAUACGAAGUUUUCUCCAUGCUCUAUCACUCCAAAUAAGUGAUAUUCCCUUUAACACUACACAGUUGACCCAAGAGCAUGGCCAUUGUUUGAAACACAAUGGAACACCUUUUCUAUGACUGUCUAUAAAAAAGGAUUUAUGAGACAUAAUAUGUAUGAACAUUAGUUUAGUUCUUUAGUUUAUUUUAUAGAGUCAGUCUAUUACUAAAUAGAUUACCUAUUUUAUUAAGUUCUGAUUUUUUUCCUAUAAUUUAUUUUAAAAAUAUUCAAAAUAAAUUUAGGUUCUACCGUUAACAUUUUGCUAUAUUUUAACACAAUCUAGUUGACUUUUUGAUAGUUUCUCCAAUUUCAUUUACUGGAAAAAUAAAGUUGACACAUAGACACAUACAGAUGCACACACACAGAGAGAGACAAGAAGGUAGGUAGAUAAACUCGUUUAUCUCAAAGCGAGUUUUGAGAUAAAUAUGGAUCCAGUUGAAUAAGAUAGAGUAGAAAGCUGAUUACUGGAAGCUGGAGGCUAGGAGUAAAGGAUGGGGAGUUUUGGUUGAAGGGUACAAAGUUUCAGCUAGACAGGAGAAUACGUUUUUGAGAUCUAUUCUACAAUAUGGGGACUAUAUUUAAUAAUAAUGUACUGUAUAUUUCUAAAUUGUUGAGAGUACAUUUAAGAUGUUCUCAUAAAAACAAACACUAUGGGAGGUGAUUGUAUGUUGAUCAGCUUGAUCAGUCAUUCUACACUGUAUAUAACAUCACAUUGUACCACGUAAAUAUACACAAUUAUAAAUUAUUAAUUCCCAAUGUAAAACCAUAUUCUCAAGAUAACCUUAGUGCUUUAAAAAGGACUAGUUAAUACCCAUGGUAAAGUUCUGGUAUACGUACUUGCUUAAUAAUUAGCCAUAUUACUUUAGAGUCACACUUUUAUGGCUUCAGCUAUAAGAUGACUUUACAAAUAAGAUUAGAUGUAGACAUCUAGAAACAUGAAAUUAAAUUUCAAGCUAUGUUAUAAGAACUAGGUGUAUGGACUUGACAAUCAGCAAAGAUGAAUUUGUGGAGAACCUGUUUUGUGACACUUUAGAUUCCCCCAUGCGUUUCCAUAAUAAUAAAAAUGCGAGUAGUUCCUAUGGAGAAAUAAAUUACUCUCAGUUUUUCCUCCCUUGUUAAGAUUAUGGAUUAAUAUACAAAGGUGGUAUUUGACAAAAAUGGAGCAUAUUUAUCUUUAAAAUGCUAAAGUUCCCUCUGGCUUUAAAAGUGUGAUUCAGUAAGCUCUGAAAUGGUGUUCUGACUUCAGUGUUAAGUAGUCACGUUUGAAGGAUGUUAAUGUAGAUGUGAAUGAGAGGAAAUGCUGCUUGGUUGAAGAACUUCUGAUUUCCUGGCAGACAUGCUCAGGGCUCCUUGACAUGCAGUACAAACACCCAUACAUAUCAGAUUCUUGUCAUCUUGGAUUUUUUGGGGUCCUAACCCUUUACUAUUUAGUGAUCAGAAUCCUUUAAUACUUGGACACUAUUUGUAUUUUAUUGGAAACCCCGUUGGCUGUAGUGCAAGUGUUCCCAAUUAAAGGGAGUAUGCCAUAUGGAGAAAAGAAAACUAGGGAGAAUUUUCUUUCCAGUUGCGUUUGAUCUGGCAAUAUUUUAAGGAAUUCCAUAGGCACAUUAAUGCAAGGAAAACGUACAUAACUUACAUAAUGCGGGAAUUAUAAAUCAACAGAUUAAGAGAAAAAUUUAGAAUUUUAAAUGUAGGCGAGACCUCAGAGACACUAUUUCAGUCCUCCUCAUUUUACAUAUAACAUGAUGGAGAAUCACUUAGUAAGGCAGACUGUUGAUUUCAUCGACUUGCCUAAAUUAACUCUUGUAAUAAUGGGCAGCAUCAAGACAAGAAUCCAAGACCCUUAACUUCUACGCCUAUUGUUUUUCUGCAGUAUGUCAGGUAUUCUGACACUAGCGUUUUUAACUGUGACUUAUAGGUAAAGGCACUGGGGCACAAAGAUGAAGUACUUGCUGCAGUUUACACAGCUGGCGAGUGGUUGAGCUGGGAUUUGAUUCAGGUUGGCUGGUUUUAGCCUCCAUGCUUCAAAACACAAAGUAGAAUUACUAUGAGUGAAUGAAUGAGUGAAUGUGCUGUGAGGACAGAAAGGAGCUGUGACUCACUGGAGUUUGCAGAGACAGAGAGGUUGAGAUUAAAUAAUGACUACAUGUUUUUAAGGGGAGAAAUGGUAAACAGCAUUGCAGGAACAAGUCACAGACUUCUGCCUGUUGCGUUUGGGGACACUGAUGCCCCUGAGUUGGGCUCAGGAUAGGGGAGUGAAAAAAGGUGCCAGAGCAACACAGUUUGGUUCAGAUAGUAAGAGUUGGGUGUGCCAUAUUAAGAAAUUUGAAGUCAACUCAGCAAUUAAAUAGAGAAAGGGAGGAAAACAAUGUACAUUUAUUUAAUGCCUAUUAAAUGAAAGUGAAAAUACUUAUAAUAUUAAAAUAAAGCACCAAAUGCCAGCUGCUUUAAUGUUUUACGCAUUUACACACACACACACACACACACACACACACACACACACACGAGUUCCUUUUAUGAAGUGCCCCCGGCUGAUGGUCAAAGGCCUCCCUGCCAGUGAGUGAUGGGAGCACGGGACUGUGACAGGUCACAUCUGAUGCUAAAGCUUAUUUUGACUUCCCCUGGUUCCUGGGGACCAAUGGAGACUUUGAAGCAAGGGUGUGUCCUGCUCACAGUUUUUUGUUUUGUUCUAUUUUCAGCCAAGGAGUGUGGAACCGGUAAGAAAGGACCAGUGAAGGGAGUGGGAGGGUCAGAGAGGCGGGGCUCUCCCAGGUCCAGAGGCAGCACAAGCGUUUCCUAAGGCAGUGAGUAGCAUGGGGCUGCAAAUGCAGUUCUGAUUUGUGAUUCUUCCUGAACCACCCUUGGACCUUCUAGUGAAGGUGUGCUUUGGUCGCGCUGUGCAGAUGUGGCCCUGGCGACUCGGCAGUGCUGUAGAAUUGGGUCUGUUGCGCUUCAGUGGUUGGCUGGGGCAUGAAGUUGAUCCCUCUGUGAGCAGGUUUUGGUCUUGUUGACAGUUAUACACUCAGAUGGUUUGUUUAUUUAACUCAUGAUUAGUGCCUUUAACACAGAAUAUUAGCACUCAAAUUAGUGUUUGUUGAGCUUGACAAAACGCCCAUCAUUGGCAGGGUGGGAGGUUACUGCUGUACCUAAUUUGAGAGUCCUCAAUAGUUGCUGCCGAUGGUAUAGGAUAGCAAAUUCCAUUUCUGAAUUUUCUGAGAUGGGAGGAAAUUGACGUUUCUUAGAAUCCAGUUUUGAUUAAAUUAUUUUUCACUUUUGAAAUUCUCUGUGAAUUUCGGUUAAGCAAGGAACACUGGAAUUAUUAUACUUUUAUGAGUUAUUUUUCAUUUUUCCGUUAAUGAGUGUAAAAUCUUGUGAGUAAAUCAGACUCAAGUGUUAAUUAUGAAGUGUUAAUUCAAUAAAUAAUGUGUUGUUUCUUCUUCAAGCUCAUACUUUAGAAAAAUUAUUUAAAUUAGCUCUCCUUUUUCCAAAACCAGAAAGUAAAUACAUGAAGGCUUUCUGUUUUUGCUGAAUAUUUUUCUGAAGGUGAAAACAAACCUCUUUCAACAAUGUACAGAAAUGUUUUAGAUUAUUUAAUGUUUAGCCUAAAAGGGAAAUUAGUGAGAUGCCAGAAUGAAGUAGCUAGGGUAAUGAUAAGAGAGUAAUGAGAAAAAAUGGGCAAUGAAAGGACAUGAUCCUGUUGGGAGGAUAAUGAGAGGGAAUAAGAGAUCAGCAGAAGAGGGGACAUCAUGACAAUCAGCUGGGAAAUGCAUUGGGCAUAGGGAAAUAAUGAAGAUGUCAACAAAAAUCCUACAGCUCUUACCCCUUCAGCUGUCUGCUUGUUCGCUACAAAGGGAAGUGUGGAGCACUGCUGAACAUUGAGCAGUCCAAAGCAACCGUCGUAAGGAAGAGGAAGGAAAAAAGGUGUAACAAUAGUUAUUGCCAGUUCGUAUACAGUUUUUUAGAUUCAUUAGAAGAUUGGAAAAUAUUUGAUAAUUGUUGCUUUCAGUCAUAAAGGUAUGUGAACAAUACACUUGCAAUUCAUAUCAAAUCCAUUAGAUUAAGGUUGGUUGAGUUUGACAUUCUUUGCUUAAUCAGGCUUGCUCAGACUUUUUGAGAUAAGUCCACUAAUGAAUGAUUGAUGUGAAUUGACAUAAUGUAGGAUUACCACAGUAUGGUUCGUAAGUGACUUCAGCGUAUUUGGGAAUAUUGUUUUAAUUCUAAAGCGAGGUAGGGAGGUCACAGGUCAUUUAGCCCAACUGUCAUUUCAUAGAUGAAGAAAACAAAAUCCUGGAGAAUCUAAGUGCCUUUGCCUGAGGCCGAAGCUGGUUCGGAGCUGUCUAAGAAUUACUGGCAUUCCCCGAGUCCAGUGAGAUUUCAUCACAUCACACUACUCCAGUAUCGCAGGGCAGGCUGCAGGAGUGCCGGACGCUGUCCCUUUCUGCUGCCAUUUUAUCAGUCAACUUGCUGGCUUCAAAACAGAGCUAACCCAAGGGAAAAUAAGUACACAUUAUUUUUUGAAAAGUCAAAAGUGCCCAAGAAAGCAGAGGCCAGUGGUGCGGGUGUUGUGCACUAGCCCAAGAGAAGCAUCCUGUCUCCAGGGUCCCUGUUAAUUAGUGAACCUGGGGAGAUAGCAAAUAGCUCCCCUUUUAGGGGAAGAGUUUCUUCAGGUGAUCACAGGCAGAGGCCAAAUCUCAUCAAAUCCGUGGUUUCUACCAACUUGAAAAUUCUAAUAUAAUUUCAUGGGUGCCAAUGAGAACCUUAACUUUUAAGGACCUUUGUGGUUUAUGCUUUAUCAAAAUGAGGAAAAGUAAGUAAUAUAAUCUUUCUGAAACAGCUACUGUUGUUGUUGAAAAAUGAUACUCGUUGAAAAUUGGCUGAAAAUCUCAGAUGCAAUGUGAAAAGAUGUUGAUGACUCAGCUCUGCAUAAGAAAGGAGAGAGCAAAAGCAAAGAACAAAUUUCUGAUUAUAAUAAAACCAAACCAAACCUAACCUUGUUGCUGCUAUUUAGUUGUCACCUGCCUUACCAGUCUUGUAUAGGCAUUUAUUUGAUUCACAAAAGUUUAGAAAACUCCCACCUCAACUUUGUGUUCAGAUAGCCAUACAUUAUGACAGGAACUUAGUUUCUUUCUUUAUUAAAAAAAAAUGAUACGUUAACUGUUAUGGCAGAUUGAAAUGUAAUAUUUUAAAGGCUUCUGUUAAAGUAAAUUGCCUGAGUUUACCAUUUUAACUAUGGCAUACGAUUAAUGUAGAUACACAUAAAAUUCAUAUUGGAUACCUAAUUCAGGAUUUAAUGAUUGUCACUGCAGGAAAUUCUUCCACAGGGAAGUCUGACAUUUCAAAAGUCAUGGAGACACUAGUUGCUCUCUAAACCUGUCUUGGAGUCCUCUGGUUUUAUGAUUGUCCUGUGUAAUGUUACUAUUUCAUGGUACUUUUUCAACAUUAACAAAAUAGAUGAACACACACAUUUGAUGUUUUUUCAGGAUCUUAAGAAAGGAAGAGGGGCUUGUUAGGAUAAUAGCUGAGGAAGAAAAAAUUCAGCAAAGUCUUAAUUAACAAAGAGCAUGAAGAAAUGUGUAGCGACAAAGAGGAGAAAAAGCAGUUUUAUUUUGUUGUUAUUAAGUACAGAAUUACGAGUACCAUAACACAAGCGCUAACAAUUCACAGGAGAAACAUGAGGGUAAGUAGACUGACAAUCUGACUCUACCUUGAAUGUUACCAGGACCUUAAGAAAGGGAGAAGCAGGAAAGGGGGCAGUUGAUAAAAAAUUUUAAAUAGAUUUUAAAAGUUUGGAUUCAGAAAAAAUCCAAAAAGGGAAUAUAUCAACAUUUGAUAAUGUAUGAAAAAACAAACAAGGAUGUAAUUAAACAGAGAGGCUCAAGAUAUAGACGGAAAAG
Molecule: long non-coding RNA, 8795 nt
Organism: Sapajus apella (tufted capuchin)
Lineage: Eukaryota; Metazoa; Chordata; Mammalia; Primates; Cebidae
Exons: 2
Source: RefSeq, a predicted model, not a curated record